Molecule: ribosomal RNA, 254 nt
Filed under: uncultured bacterium
Lineage: Bacteria
Description: partial 16S ribosomal RNA
Rfam family: Bacterial small subunit ribosomal RNA
Source: RNAcentral
UACGUAGGGUGCGAGCGUUGUCCGGAAUUAUUGGGCGUAAAGGGCUCGUAGGCGGUCUGUUGCGUCAGGAGUGAAAACUCGGGGCUUAACCCCGAGCCUGCUUCUGAUACGGGCAGACUAGAGGUAUGCAGGGGGAGAACGGAAUUCCUGGUGUAGCGGUGAAAUGCGCAGAUAUCAGGAGGAACACCGGUGGCGAAGGCGGUUCUCUGGGCAUUACCUGACGCUGAGGAGCGAAAGCGUGGGGAGCGAACAGG